UGGGGAAUCUUGCGCAAUGGGCGGAAGCCUGACGCAGCAACGCCGCGUGCGGGAAGAAGGCCUUCGGGUCGUAAACCGCUUUCAGCAGGGACGAAGCUUCCGAGGUUAAUAGCCUACGGGGUGACGGUACCUGCAGAAGAAGCCCCGGCUAACUACGUGCCAGCAGCCGCGGUAAUACGUAGGGGGCGAGCGUUGUCCGGAUUUAUUGGGCGUAAAGCGCGUGUAGGCGGCUUGGUAGGUCUCGCGUCAAAAGCUGCGGCUCAACCGCAGUCCGCGUGGGAAACCACCUCGCUAGAGUUCGGAAGAGGAGAGCGGAAUUCCCGGUGUAGCGGUGAAAUGCGCAGAUAUCGGGAAGAACACCAGUGGCGAAGGCGGCUCUCUGGGACGUAACUGACGCUGAGACGCGAAAGCGUGGGGAGCGAACAG
This 426-nucleotide ribosomal RNA is filed under the name uncultured bacterium. RNAcentral describes it as "bacterial SSU rRNA". It matches the Rfam family "Bacterial small subunit ribosomal RNA", at positions 355 to 775 of the family's 1533-position model. The record is from RNAcentral.